Bombus terrestris (buff-tailed bumblebee) is the source of this 567-nucleotide long non-coding RNA. RefSeq lists it as uncharacterized. The record is from RefSeq and is a predicted model, not a curated record. The transcript has 2 exons. NCBI's taxonomy places the organism in Eukaryota, Metazoa, Arthropoda, Insecta, Hymenoptera, Apidae.
AAUCAUUUCAACUCCAAAUACAUAAACUUUGAUUCGAAUUAGCGAUCUCACAACAUUGAUUUGUAUUCAUUAGUUAUUCUCUAAUAAUAUGAUAUGAUAUUAUGUCAGUUUCAUUAGGUUGUUUUGAAAUGUUAUAUAUAUUUACCAAUUUCUGCAUUGGGAUGAAGUCCAUACAGAACAGGACUUUCAGCAGUGCCUUCUAGCUCCAUCUCGUCGUAAAUUAUUGAAGCUAUCGAUGGUGUCGAAAAAUAUUUCAAACAAAAGUCCAACAAUUUCGAGGGGUAUAUAAUUUGAUGUAAUUUUUUCACGAAUGGAUAACUGAAGGAUUUCUGAAUGAUAAUAUUACAUUUUUAUAUGGAAUUAUAUAUUUUUUAUUUUAUUAUUUCACAUUAAUCGGUGUAGUCCUGAAAAGGCAAAGGAAAUAAUAGAAUAAAAUUCAUACCCUGAAAUGGCUAUUUUGGAGAUAUUUUGAUUUUGAUAUGUAUUGCAAAGCGAUAUAACAUCAACAAUUUUGAAAAUAUUUGUGAACCACCGUAUAUUAAUACUUUAUGAAAUUGUACAAGUGUA